RNAcentral lists this small RNA (80 nucleotides) under Flavobacterium sp. 103. RNAcentral's name for it is "Flavo-1 RNA". It matches the Rfam family "Flavo-1 RNA". Lineage: Bacteria; Pseudomonadati; Bacteroidota; Flavobacteriia; Flavobacteriales; Flavobacteriaceae. The record is from RNAcentral.
CUUUAGCCCCGAUAGCAGUGAAAAUCCUUUUUAUUUUUCCUUUAAAAAUAAAAAGAUUGAAACGGAUAGCGGGACCAAUG